AACGAACGCUGGCGGCAGGCUUAACACAUGCAAGUCGAACGCAUCCUUCGGGGUGAGUGGCAGACGGGUGAGUAACGCGUGGGAACGUGCCCUUCAGUUCGGGAUAACCCAGGGAAACUGGGGCUAAUACCGGAUACGUGCGAGAGCGGAAAGAUUUAUCGCUGAAGAAUCGGCCCGCGUCUGAUUAGCUAGUUGGUGGGGUAAUGGCACACCAAGGCGACGAUCAGUAGCUGGUCUGGGAGGAUGAUCAGCCACAUUGGGACUGAGACACGGCCCAAACUCCUACGGGAGGCAGCAGUGGGGAAUAUUGGACAAUGGGCGCAAGCCUGAUCCAGCCAUGCCGCGUGAGUGAUGAAGGCCUUAGGGUUGUAAAGCUCUUUCGUCCGGGACGAUAAUGACGGUACCGGAAGAAGAAGCCCCGGCUAACUUCGUGCCAGCCGCCGCCGUAA
This 449-nucleotide ribosomal RNA is filed under the name uncultured bacterium. RNAcentral describes it as "partial 16S ribosomal RNA". It matches the Rfam family "Bacterial small subunit ribosomal RNA", at positions 29 to 523 of the family's 1533-position model. The record is from RNAcentral.